CCAGCGCAGCUAACAGCAGUCGAGCGGAACAAAGAGAACCUUGCUUCUCUGCUGAAGAGCGGCGGACGGGAGAAUAAUACUUGGGAAUUCGCCUUUAGGCGGGGGACAACCACGGGAAACUGGGGCUAAUACCGCAUAAUGUCUACGGAACAAAGUGGGGGACCUUCAGGCCUCACACCUAAAUAUGACCCCAAGCGGGAUUAGCUAGUUGGUGGGGUAAAGGCUCACCAAGGCGACUAUCCCUAGCUGUUCUGAGAGGAUGAUCAGCCACACUGGGACUGACACACGGCCCACACUCCUACGGGAGGCAGCAGUGGGGAAUAUUGCACAAUGGGGGAAACCCUGAUGCACCCAUGCCGCGUGUGUGAACAAGGCCUUCGGGUUGUAAAGCACUUUCAGCGACGAGGAAGGGUGUUGUAUUAAUAGUGCAGCACAUUGACGUUAGUCGCAGAAGAAGCACCGGCUAACUCCGUGCCACCAGCCGCGGUAAUACGGAGGGUGCAAGCGUUAAUCGAAAUUACUGGGCGUAAAGCGUACGUAGGCGGCGUGUUAAGCAAGAUGUGAAACCCCCGGGCUCAACCUGGGAAUUGCAUUUUGAACUGGCAUGCUAAAGUCCUGAAAAGGGUGGUAAAAUUUCCAGUGUACCGGUGAAAUGCGUAAAUAUUGAAAGGAAUACCGGUGGCGAAGGCGGCCACCUGGUCCCAAACUGACGCUGAGGUACGAAAGCGUGGGGAGCAAACAGGAUUAGAUACCCUGGUAGUCCACCCCGUAAACAAUGUCAACUACUUGUUCGUGUUCUUGAGACGUGAGUGGCGCAGCUAACGCACUAAGUUGACCGCCUGGGGAGUACGGCCGCAAGGUUAAAACUCAAAUUAAUUUUGGGGGGCGCGCACAAGCGGUGGAGCAUGUGGUUUAAUUCGAUGCAACGCGAAGAACCUUACCAUCCCUUGACAUCCAGAGAAUUUUCCAGAGAUGGAUUAGUGCCUUCGGGAACUCUGAGACAGGUGCUGCAUGGCUGUCGUCAGCUCGUGUUGUGAGAUGUUGGGUUAAGUCCCGCAACGAGCGCAACCCUUAUCCUUAGUUGCCAGCACGUAAAGGUGGGAACUCUGGGGAGACUGCCGGUGAUAAACCGGAGGAAGGUGGGGACGACGUCAAGUCAUCAUGGCCCUUACGGGAUGGGCUACACACGUGCUACAAUGGCGCAUACAAAGGGCAGCAAGCCAGCGAUGGUUAGCGAAUCUCAUAAAGUGCGUCGUAGUCCGGAUCGGAGUCUGCAACUCGACUCCGGAAGUCGGAUCGCUAGUAUCGUGAUCAAAUGCUUGACGCUAAAAA
This 1332-nucleotide ribosomal RNA is filed under the name Idiomarina sp. NT N96. RNAcentral describes it as "bacterial SSU rRNA". It matches the Rfam family "Bacterial small subunit ribosomal RNA", at positions 43 to 1368 of the family's 1533-position model. The record is from RNAcentral. Lineage: Bacteria; Pseudomonadati; Pseudomonadota; Gammaproteobacteria; Alteromonadales; Idiomarinaceae.